Molecule: ribosomal RNA, 922 nt
Filed under: Clostridium botulinum NCTC 2916
Lineage: Bacteria; Bacillati; Bacillota; Clostridia; Eubacteriales; Clostridiaceae
Description: bacterial SSU rRNA
Rfam family: Bacterial small subunit ribosomal RNA
Source: RNAcentral
AGAGUUUGAUCCUGGCUCAGGACGAACGCUGGCGGCGUGCUUAACACAUGCAAGUCGAGCGAUGAAGCUUCCUUCGGGAAGUGGAUUAGCGGCGGACGGGUGAGUAACACGUGGGUAACCUGCCUCAAAGUGGGGGAUAGCCUUCCGAAAGGAAGAUUAAUACCGCAUAAUAUAAGAGAAUCGCAUGAUUUUUUUAUCAAAGAUUUAUUGCUUUGAGAUGGACCCGCGGCGCAUUAGCUAGUUGGUAAGGUAACGGCUUACCAAGGCAACGAUGCGUAGCCGACCUGAGAGGGUGAUCGGCCACAUUGGAACUGAGACACGGUCCAGACUCCUACGGGAGGCAGCAGUGGGGAAUAUUGCGCAAUGGGGGAAACCCUGACGCAGCAACGCCGCGUGGGUGAUGAAGGUCUUCGGAUUGUAAAGCCCUGUUUUCUAGGACGAUAAUGACGGUACUAGAGGAGGAAGCCACGGCUAACUACGUGCCAGCAGCCGCGGUAAUACGUAGGUGGCGAGCGUUGUCCGGAUUUACUGGGCGUAAAGGGUGCGUAGGCGGAUGUUUAAGUGGGAUGUGAAAUCCCCGGGCUUAACCUGGGGGCUGCAUUCCAAACUGGAUAUCUAGAGUGCAGGAGAGGAAAGCGGAAUUCCUAGUGUAGCGGUGAAAUGCGUAGAGAUUAGGAAGAACACCAGUGGCGAAGGCGGCUUUCUGGACUGUAACUGACGCUGAGGCACGAAAGCGUGGGUAGCAAACAGGAUUAGAUACCCUGGUAGUCCACGCCGUAAACGAUGGAUACUAGGUGUAGGGGGUAUCAACUCCCCCUGUGCCGCAGUUAACACAAUAAGUAUCCCGCCUGGGGAGUACGGUCGCAAGAUUAAAACUCAAAGGAAUUGACGGGGGCCCGCACAAGCAGCGGAGCAUGUGGUU